GUUGAUAGAUCCAAUCUUGUGUGCUCUCAGAAGCUAAGCAGGGUCAGGCCUGGUUAGCAGUUGGCUUGGUGACAGCCUGUGAAUAUCAGAGGCUGUAAGCU
RNAcentral lists this ribosomal RNA (101 nucleotides) under Neolamprologus brichardi. The record is from RNAcentral. Lineage: Eukaryota; Metazoa; Chordata; Actinopteri; Cichliformes; Cichlidae.